UUAAGUUCAGCGGGUAUCCCUACCUGAUCCGAGGUCAACCGUAGAAGGGGUCGCUGGCGGGCGCGCGCCCAGGGCCGGUAGCGAGGGGUUGUACUACGCUCCAGCACCGGACGCGCCGCCACUUGCUUUGGGGCCCGCCAGACGGCGAGCCCAGGACCAGCAGGGCUGGAUAGGCUAUAAUGACGCUCGAACAGGCAUGC
RNAcentral lists this unclassified non-coding RNA (200 nucleotides) under Helotiales sp. Its description in RNAcentral is "partial internal transcribed spacer 2". The record is from RNAcentral. Lineage: Eukaryota; Fungi; Ascomycota; Leotiomycetes; Helotiales.